CCUACGGGAGGCAGCAGUGAGGAAUAUUGGUCAAUGGACGAGAGUCUGAACCAGCCAAGUAGCGUGAAGGAUGACUGCCCUAUGGGUUGUAAACUUCGUUUAUAGGGGAAUAAAAUGUGCCACGUGUGGGAUGUUGUAUGUACCAUAUGAAUAAGGAUCGGAUAACUCCGUGCCAGCAGCCGCGGUAAUACGGAGUAUCCGAGCUUUAUGCGGAUUUAUUGGGGUUAAAGGGAGCGUAGGUGGUUUGUUAAGUCAGUUGGGAAAGUUUGCGGCUCAACCGUAUAACUGCAGUUGAAACGGGCAGUCUUGAGUACAGUAGCGUUUGGCGGAAUUCGUGGUGUAGCGGUGAAAUCCUUAGAUAUCACG
This 366-nucleotide ribosomal RNA is filed under the name uncultured bacterium. RNAcentral's name for it is "partial 16S ribosomal RNA". It matches the Rfam family "Bacterial small subunit ribosomal RNA", at positions 338 to 701 of the family's 1533-position model. The record is from RNAcentral.